ACAAAAACAAUCGUUUUCUUUUUUCUGUAGGUAAAUUAUACUUCACUAUUAAAAUGGAAAAAUUAGUACAAUCUCAAUUUCAUAAAAAAGAAAACAUUGUAGCAAGUCAUAUGCCAUAUUUUUAAUAGUUCUUAUAUCUAGUGAUGGGUUAUGGAUGCUAUUGACUUUCUCUACCCACCUCCCUAAACUGUAUAAAAUUCUUUAUAGUAAUCAUAUAUUGUUUUGUUUACAGAUGCUGAAAAAAAAGUAUUUUCAUGUUUUUUAAAAAGGAAGAAAGAAGGAUAAUUCCCUGUGCUAAUGAGUAGAUAACAAGAAACGCACCCUUAUAGACCACCGGGAAAAGUUCGCCUUUAUAAUGUAGUGAUAUGCCUCAAAGGCACUGCAGUGUGUAUGCUUUUUAGGUGUCCACAGCAGGAAAAGUAAAAGUGUUUGCACAUGGGUAUUCAUUAAGUUGCUUAUGAUAGAAAAAACUUUGAAGAAUCCUAAAUAUCUAAUAAUAGAAGACUGGUUAAAUGCAUUAUGAUAUAUCUAUUCAGUAGUAUACUUUGUAAACAUUAAUUAUUAAUAUAUGUAGAUGACUUGAUAUGGAAAGAUGUUGAAUGACAACAAAGCAUAUAUAUAUUACAUAAAUGUGCAUACAAAAAUUCCAGUUAGAUAUUUUCAAAUGUUAACAGUUAUCAUAUCCAGGUAAUGACAUUUUUUCAGGGCAUUAUUUUCUAAAUUUUUCUGUCAAUUUUAUACAAGUGCA
This 748-nucleotide long non-coding RNA is filed under the name Homo sapiens (human). RNAcentral's name for it is "long non-coding RNA NONHSAT236575". The record is from RNAcentral. Lineage: Eukaryota; Metazoa; Chordata; Mammalia; Primates; Hominidae.